Molecule: RNA transcript, 777 nt
Organism: Nycticebus coucang (slow loris)
Lineage: Eukaryota; Metazoa; Chordata; Mammalia; Primates; Lorisidae
Gene name: lipopolysaccharide-induced tumor necrosis factor-alpha factor homolog
Exons: 1
Source: RefSeq, a predicted model, not a curated record
AUGUCAGUUCCAGGACCCUAGCAGGCAGCUGCCAGGCCUUCCUCAGUGCCAACUGCGCGCCCAUCCUAUGAAGAGACAGUGGCUGUUAACAAUUACUACCCCACGCCUCCAGCACCCAUGCCUGGACCUACCACGGGGCUCAUGACAGGCUCAGAUGGGAAGAGCAUGAAUCCUCCUUCGUAUUAUAACCAGCCGGUGCCUGUCCCCAAUGCCAAUGCAAUUGCUGUGCGACUGUCUACCUGCAACAGCCUGUCUCCUUUUAUGACCACCCUGUUCAGAUGUGUUGUCCUUCCUGCAACAAGAUGAUCGUGACUCAGCUGUCCUACAAUGCUAAUGCCCUGACCUGGCUGUCCUGUGGGAGCCUGUGCCUGCUGGGAUGUGUUGUAGGCUGCUGCUUCAUCCCCUUCUGCGUGGACGCCCUACAGGAUGUGGAACACUACUAUCCCAACUGCAAAGCUCUCCUAGGCACCUACAAGCGUCUGUAGGAUUCAGCCGAACAUGAAGGGAGCCGGGUGCUGUAGGAAGUCCUUUCCUACUCUCAUCCAGCCCCACCCCUGGUGGAGAUUCUGUUCUCGUGGUCUCAGCUUUCCAGCAGGCCUUAUCUUCAUGUCUUCUUUUGGGGGGGAAAUGUCACAAAACUAACAAACCUCCAAACACCAGAAAUUGCUGCUUGGAGUCGUGCACAGGACAUGUAAAGACAUUCCCCUUGAGUGCUGGCUCAAGGGGUUCCUGCCUACCCGUGACCCCGAAUCAUGCCAUCUAACUGUGAUUGUUGCC